RNAcentral lists this unclassified non-coding RNA (522 nucleotides) under uncultured Glomeromycotina. Its description in RNAcentral is "SSU rRNA". It matches the Rfam family "Eukaryotic small subunit ribosomal RNA", at positions 591 to 1114 of the family's 1831-position model. The record is from RNAcentral. Lineage: Eukaryota; Fungi; Glomeromycota.
CCAAUAGCGUAUAUUAAAGUUGUUGCAGUUAAAAAGCUCGUAGUUGAAUUUCGGGAUCAAUGUUUCGGUCAUGCCGUUGGUAUGUACUGAUAUUAUUGAUUUCUCACCUUCUAAAGAACCGUAAUGCCAUUAAUUUGGUGUCACGGGGAAUUAGGACUGUUACCUUGAAAAAAUUAGAGUGUUUAAAGCAGGCUCACGCUUGAAUACAUUAGCAUGGAAUAAUGAAAUAGGACAUCCGAUUCUAUUUUGUUGGUUUCUAGGAUCGAUGUAAUGAUUAAUAGGGAUAGUUGGGGGCAUUAGUAUUCAAUUGUCAGAGGUGAAAUUCUUGGAUUUAUUGAAGACUAACUACUGCGAAAGCAUUUGCCAAGGAUGUUUUCAUUAAUCAAGAACGAAAGUUAGGGGAUCGAAGACGAUCAGAUACCGUCGUAGUCUUAACCAUAAACUAUGCCGACUAGGGAUCGGAUGAUGUUAAUUUUUUAAUGACUCAUUCGGCGCCUUAUGAGAACCAAAGUGUUUGGGUUC